RNAcentral lists this ribosomal RNA (424 nucleotides) under uncultured bacterium. RNAcentral describes it as "partial 16S ribosomal RNA". It matches the Rfam family "Bacterial small subunit ribosomal RNA", at positions 359 to 775 of the family's 1533-position model. The record is from RNAcentral.
GAAUAUUGGACAAUGGGCGAAAGCCUGAUCCAGCCAUGCCGCGUGUGUGAAGAAGGUCUUCGGAUUGUAAAGCACUUUACGUUGGGAGGCAGGGCAGUAAGCGAAUACCUUGCUGUUUUGACGUUACCGACAGAAUAAGCACCGGCUAACUCCGUGCCAGCCGCCCAGGUAAUCCAGAGGGUGCAAGCGUUAAUCGGAAUUACUGGGCGUAAAGCGCGCGUAGGUGGUUAGUUAAGUUGGAUGUGAAAGCCCCGGGCUCAACCUGGGAACUGCAUCCAAAACUGGCGAGCUAGAGUAUGGCAGAGGGUGGUGGAAUUUCCUGUGUAGCGGUGAAAUGCGUAGAUAUAGGAAGGAACACCAGUGGCGAAGGCGACCACCUGGGCUCAUACUGACACUGAGGUGCGAAAGCGUGGGGAGCAAACAG